Molecule: ribosomal RNA, 564 nt
Filed under: uncultured bacterium
Lineage: Bacteria
Description: bacterial SSU rRNA
Rfam family: Bacterial small subunit ribosomal RNA
Source: RNAcentral
AGCGGCGGACGGGUGAGUAAUGCCUGGGAAUAUGCCCUGAUGUGGGGGAUAACUAUUGGAAACGAUAGCUAAUACCGCAUAAUCUCCGAUCUUUUACGAGAUGGGAGCAAAGAGGGGGACCUUCGGGCCUCUCGCGUCAGGAUUAGCCCAGGUGGGAUUAGCUUGUUGGUGAGGUAAUGGCUCACCAAGGCAACGAUCCCUAGCUGGUCUGAGAGGAUGAUCAGCCACACUGGAACUGAGACACGGUCCAGACUCCUACGGGAGGCAGCAGUGGGGAAUAUUGCACAAUGGGGGAAACCCUGAUGCAGCCAUGCCGCGUGUGUGAAGAAGGCCUUCGGGUUGUAAAGCACUUUCAGUAGGGAGGAAGGUAGUGUAGUUAACACCUGCAUUAUUUGACGUUACCUACAGAAGAAGCACCGGCUAACUCCGUGCCAGCAGCCGCGGUAAUACGGAGGGUGCGAGCGUUAAUCGGAAUUACUGGGCGUAAAGCGCAUGCAGGCGGCCUGUUAAGUCAGAUGUGAAAGCCCGGGGCUUAACCUCGGAAUUGCAUUUGAAACUGGCAGG